RNAcentral lists this ribosomal RNA (467 nucleotides) under uncultured bacterium. RNAcentral describes it as "partial 16S ribosomal RNA". It matches the Rfam family "Bacterial small subunit ribosomal RNA", at positions 28 to 507 of the family's 1533-position model. The record is from RNAcentral.
GACGAACGCUGGCGGCGUGCUUAACACAUGCAAGUCGAACGGAAAGGCCUCUUUCGGGGGGUACUCGAGUGGCGAACGGGUGAGUAACACGUGAGUAACCUGCCCUUGACUUUGGGAUAACUUCAGGAAACUGGGGCUAAUACCGGAUAGGAGCUCCUGCUGCAUGGUGGGGGUUGGAAAGUUUCGGCGGUUGGGGUUGGACUCGCGGCGUAUCAGCUUGUUGGUGGGGUAGUGGCUUACCAAGGCUUUGACGGGUAGCCGGCCUGAGAGGGUGACCGGCCACAUUGGGACUGAGAUACGGCCCAGACUCCUACGGGAGGCAGCAGUGGGGAAUAUUGCACAAUGGGUGGAAGCCUGAUGCAGCAACGCCGCGUGCGGGAUGACGGCCUUAGGGUUGUAAACCGCUUUCGCUCAUGACGAAGCUUUGUGUGACGGUAGUGGGUAAAGAAGCACCGGCUAACUACGUG